Molecule: ribosomal RNA, 253 nt
Filed under: uncultured bacterium
Lineage: Bacteria
Description: partial 16S ribosomal RNA
Rfam family: Bacterial small subunit ribosomal RNA
Source: RNAcentral
UACGGGGGGGGCAAGCGUUGUUCGGAAUUACUGGGCGUAAAGGGCUCGUAGGCGGCCAACUAAGUCGGAUGUGAAAUCCCCAGGCUUAACCUGGGAACUGCAUCCGAUACUGGAUGGCUUGAAUCCGGGAGAGGGAUGCAGAAUUCCAGGUGUAGCGGUGAAAUGCGUAGAUAUCUGGAGGAAUACCGGUGGCGAAGGCGUUCUGCUGGGCCGUUGCUGACGCUGAGGCGCGACAGCGUGGGGAGCAAACAGG